RNAcentral lists this ribosomal RNA (413 nucleotides) under uncultured prokaryote. Its description in RNAcentral is "bacterial SSU rRNA". It matches the Rfam family "Bacterial small subunit ribosomal RNA", at positions 505 to 918 of the family's 1533-position model. The record is from RNAcentral.
GUGUCAGCCGCCGCGGUAAUACGGAGGGGGUUAGCGUUGUUCGGAAUUACUGGGCGUAAAGCGCACGUAGGCGGAUUGGAAAGUUGGGGGUGAAAUCCCAGGGCUUAACCCUGGAACUGCCUCCAAAACUCCCAGUCUAGAGUUCGAGAGAGGUGAGUGGAAUUCCGAGUGUAGAGGUGAAAUUCGUAGAUAUUCGGAGGAACACCAGUGGCGAAGGCGGCUCACUGGCUCGAUACUGACGCUGAGUUGCGAAAGUGUGGGGAGCAAACAGGAUUAGAUACCCUGGUAGUCCACACCGUAAACGAUGAAUGCCAGUCGUCGGGUAGCAUGCUAUUCGGUGACACACCUAACGGAUUAAGCAUUCCGCCUGGGGAGUACGGCCGCAAGGUUAAAACUUAAAUGAAUUGGCGGGG